Molecule: small nuclear RNA, 133 nt
Filed under: Saimiri boliviensis boliviensis (Bolivian squirrel monkey)
Lineage: Eukaryota; Metazoa; Chordata; Mammalia; Primates; Cebidae
Description: U4 spliceosomal RNA (ENSSBOG00000001629.1)
Rfam family: U4 spliceosomal RNA
About the family: U4 small nuclear RNA (U4 snRNA) is a component of the major U2-dependent spliceosome. The structure of U4 snRNA from yeast and human has been reported. U4 snRNA presents a k-turn RNA motif in the 5p-SL related to recognition of Snu13 protein.
Source: Rfam by way of RNAcentral
AGCUUUGAGCGUGGCAGUAUCAUAGCCAAUUAUCCGAGGCGUGAUUAUUGCUAAUUGAAAACUUUUCCCAAUACCCUGCCAUGACAACGUGAAAUAUAAUCGGCACUGAAAUUUUUGACAGUCUCUACGGAGA